Molecule: long non-coding RNA, 1286 nt
Organism: Drosophila ananassae
Lineage: Eukaryota; Metazoa; Arthropoda; Insecta; Diptera; Drosophilidae
Exons: 3
Source: RefSeq, a predicted model, not a curated record
GUGAUAAACUUAUAUUCGCUAUUAAUUGUUUGAUUUGGGGUUAAAUUGACAGAUUAUAAAUAUUGAAAUCGAAACUAGAUUUGUUUAAUAGAAGGCCACUAUUAAAAAGCUGAUAGCGUUACAAAUACUAUGGUACUAAUAAGCGUCAUAUGGAUCGUAAGACACAUGCACUGAAUGAGCAUUGAUUAUGCGAGCGAUCGUGGGAAAGUCAAAAACUAGAAAAUAUAAAAAUAUUCGGCAGCCCAAUAAGGCCAACAAAAUUUUCAUCUACCAACAACGAACUCUCACGGACUAAUUAGGCGCUAAGACAUGGACUUCAGUAACUUCAACAAAAUGCUACCAAUGAUAUCGUGGGAUGGUAGAAUAGAUAUUUCGCUGCCUCCCGUUCGUUGCAUCAGACUGUAGCGGCGACUGAAGAGUCAUUUUCAAAAAAAAAAAAAUAAUAAAUAAAAAAAAAAAACUAAAAUUGUAAACAAAUACAAACGAUAUACAUAUCGGCUUUGUAAAUUGGUUUUUUAUAACCGAAAGUUAAAGUAAAGCUUUUACUUCGGGAGUUGCCCAAUUGCUAAGCGGAAUCAGCUGCAGCAGGGAGGCUUAGGAAAGCUGCAAUAUCAGCUGUUCUGCAUUUCCGGUAACCUAAAUGGCAUGUAGGUUGUUCCAUGCUCGGUCUUUUCUAUCGAACCCCCACCAAGUGCAGACGCCUAAUAAUAUCUCUCUCUGUAUAUAUAACAUCUCAAUGGUUUUAUCAGCGCAAGUGCAAAGUGGUUAUUUUUUUUUGUUAUCCCCAAAUACCAAGUAAGUCGCAGAUUAUGCGUAUGUUUUUAUUGUGUUUACAUGCAUACGCUUAUCUAGAUUUGCAACGGUGAUAAGGGCAGCCUAAGCCUGUGUUUGUGGGUUUUUUGUUUUUGUUUCGCGGCUUUAUAAAAGCGCGACCUCGUUGCGGCCUUAUCAAAAUUUAUCAGAUUCAGGCGGUCCACAUCAAAGCACCCCGGGAGCCCUCCUGGUGGAGGCUCCCAGAUCAGGAGCGGCUAAACCUCGAUCGGCUUUUAGUGAAGUGAAGAAAACGGAAUUUGGAAAAUAUGAAGAUAAUAUUUGUUUUUUAAACUUUCGCGAACAAAAAAAAUGGUUAUCAGUAAUCCUCGUGCGUAAAUAAGUUUGUUUUAAAAUUCUACGGUGUACAAAGCCCUCAUUACACUCAUUUACAGCAACCCAAAGCAGAGAUCGAUCUUUCGCCGAUGGAUUUACAGUGAGUGGUUUAUUUACCUUUUACAUAUACACUGGGAAAA